CGGGUGAGUAACACGUGGGUGACCUGCCCUUAGCUCUGGGAUAAGCCUGGGAAACUGGGUCUAAUACGGGAUAUGACUCCAUGACGCAUGUUGUGGGGUGGAAAGCCUUGUGCGGCUAGGGAUGGGCCCGCGGCCUAUCAGCUUGUUGGUGGGGUGAUGGCCUACCAAGGCGACGACGGGUAGCCGGCCUGAGAGGGCGACCGGCCACACUGGGACUGAGACACGGCCCAG
Molecule: ribosomal RNA, 231 nt
Filed under: uncultured bacterium
Lineage: Bacteria
Description: partial 16S ribosomal RNA
Rfam family: Bacterial small subunit ribosomal RNA
Source: RNAcentral